UGGGGAAUUUUGGACAAUGGGGGAAACCCUGAUCCAGCCAUCCCGCGUGUGCGAUGAAGGCCUUCGGGUUGUAACGCACUUUUGGCAGGAAAGAAACGUCAUGGGUUAAUACCCCGUGAAACUGACGGUACCUGCAGAAUAAGCACCGGCUAACUACGUGCCAGCAGCCGCGGUAAUACGUAGGGUGCAAGCGUUAAUCGGAAUUACUGGGCGUAAAGCGUGCGCAGGCGGUUCGGAAAGAAAGAUGUGAAAUCCCAGAGCUCAACUUUGGAACUGCAUUUUUAACUACCGGGCUAGAGUGUGUCAGAGGGAGGUGGAAUUCCGCGUGUAGCAGUGAAAUGCGUAGAUAUGCGGAGGAACACCGAUGGCGAAGGCAGCCUCCUGGGAUAACACUGACGCUCAUGCACGAAAGCGUGGGGAGCAAACAGG
RNAcentral lists this ribosomal RNA (429 nucleotides) under Acidobacteriota bacterium. RNAcentral describes it as "Acidobacteria bacterium partial 16S ribosomal RNA". It matches the Rfam family "Bacterial small subunit ribosomal RNA", at positions 355 to 776 of the family's 1533-position model. The record is from RNAcentral. Lineage: Bacteria; Pseudomonadati; Acidobacteriota.